GUUCUCUGGUUCCUGGAGAACUGAAGCGAUCUUAGUCUGUAACAUUUACUGAGGAAAUAUUUAGUAACUUUUGACUUAAUCUGGAAAUGAACUGCAGUUUAGUGAAAUAUUGUAUAAAAUUCAUCUACUGACAAACUUACAGAGAAUUAUUAGGCAGAAGAAGAAGAAGAUAAAGAUUUGGUGAUAUUUAAUAAAACAAAAAUAAAUCAUUUCAAUAAGGAGAAUCUUCAAUGUAAUCUAACAUUUGAUUUCUCUGUCAGAGCAGCAGGUGAAACGGAUCAGCAGAACACUGAGGACUGAUGGACGACCCGUUUUAAAAUGUUCUGUGCCGUUCUUGGAUCUGAACCAAGCAUCAUCUUCCUCUGGGCACAAGAUAAUCAGUCCAGUUGUCAGCAAGACUUCAUCUCUGAGUGAAAUGAUUCUGCAUCAACAUCACAGUUCUUGUGUUUCAGACAAAGAGAAACUUCAUCAGGUUAAUAUUUAUGAACUUAUAUUCAGAAAUAUAAGUUAUGAAUAUACUUAUAUUCAUAGUUAUACACAGUUUUUGUAUAAUUGCAAAACAUUUUUCUCAAACAGUUUUUUUCAAACUGUGUUUGAGAAAAAUGUUUCUAGAGGAAGAAAGCAGCUGAAUCUGAAGAGGAGGAAGAGGAGGAAGAGGAGGAGCUGAUCUGUUCCUGAUCUCUAAAGAGACUCAAACUUCCUCCUUCAGUUCAGUUCAACUCUCCAACAUUAACUCUGCUCAACAUGGACUAUUAUGGUCUGUCUCUGCUCAUCAUCUCUCUGCUAACAGGAGUCAGAUGCCAACAACUCACUGCGCUUCAGAAAGAAGAGUUCGCUGUAGGAAGCAGCAAAGUUACUCUGUCCUACACUUACUCCAAAACAGCCACUGGAACUGAUUCUUUCUUCUGGUAUCGACAAUAUCCUGGAAAACCUCCAGAGUUCCUGAUCUCCCAUUUAGGAACAGGAACUAAACUCCAGGAUCCGGUUCCUGGUUUCUCCUUCAACGUGAAUGCUGAUAAAACCCAGAUGGAUCUGCUGAUCUCUGCUGCAGUGACAGACUCUGCUGUGUACUACUGCGCUGUGAAGCCCACAGUGACAGGAAACACCAGAACCCUGUACAAAAACCUGCAGUACUCCACAGCAGCCACUAGAGGGCCUCACUCCCUGUUAAUCCACUACAACCUGCAGUACUCCACAGCAGCCACUAGAGGGCCUCACUCCCUGUUAAACCACUAAAACCUGCAGUACUCCACAGCAGCCACUAGAGGGCCUCACUCCCUGUUAAUCUACUGGUUGUUGAGUCUUUAGACUGAAGACAAAGACAACAGAGACAUGAAGCAGUAAAGAUCAGACAGAGCUGCUGAGGAAGCAGAAAACGCUCUGAUUGGUUGAGUUGAAGUGGCCCCGCCCACUGACCUUCAGCUCAUCCAAUGACAUCAUUUCUUCCUCCUUCUGCUGCAGUGGAAGAACAUUGUUGAUCUGCAGUGUGGCUCUAAGGACUCCAAA
Molecule: non-coding RNA, 1506 nt
Organism: Xiphophorus hellerii (green swordtail)
Lineage: Eukaryota; Metazoa; Chordata; Actinopteri; Cyprinodontiformes; Poeciliidae
Source: the annotation of a RefSeq genome assembly